AAUAGAUACCUGGGUAGUCCACGCCGUAAACGAUGGAUACUAGCUGUUCGUCCGCCUCGGCGGAUGAGUGGCUAAGCGAAAGUGAUAAGUAUCCCACCUGGGGAGUACGAACGCAAGUUUGAAACUCAAAGGAAUUGACGGGGGCCCGCACAAGCGGUGGAGCAUGUGGUUUAAUUCGAUGAUACGCGAGGAACCUUACCAAGGCUUAAAUGUAGAUUGACAGGACUGGAAACAGUUUUUUCUUCGGACAAUUUACAAGGUGCUGCAUGGUUGUCGUCAGCUCGUGCCGUGAGGUGUCAGGUUAAGUCCUAUAACGAGCGCAACCCCUGUUGUUAGUUGCCAGCGAGUCAAGUCGGGAACUCUAACAAGACUGCCAGUGUAAACUGUGAGGAAGGUGGGGAUGACGUCAAAUCAUCACGGCCCUUACGCCUUGGGCUACACACGUGCUACAAUGGCCGGUACAGAGAGCAGCCACUGCGCGAGCAGGAGCGAAUCUAUAAAACCGGUCACAGUUCGGAUCGGAGU
This 525-nucleotide ribosomal RNA is filed under the name uncultured bacterium. RNAcentral's name for it is "bacterial SSU rRNA". It matches the Rfam family "Bacterial small subunit ribosomal RNA", at positions 777 to 1304 of the family's 1533-position model. The record is from RNAcentral.